GACGAACGCUGGCGGCGUGCUUAACACAUGCAAGUCGAACGGACAGGCCCUGCUUUUGUUGGGUGCUCGAGUGGCGAACGGGUGAGUAACACGUGAGUAACCUGCCCUUGACUUUGGGAUAACUUCAGGAAACUGGGGCUAAUACCGGAUAGGAGCUCCUGCUGCAUGGUGUGGGUUGGAAAGUUUCGGCGGUUGGGGAUGGACUCGCGGCUUAUCAGCUUGUUGGUGGGGUAGUGGCUUACCAAGGCUUUGACGGGUAGCCGGCCUGAGAGGGUGACCGGCCACAUUGGGACUGAGAGACGGCCCAGAAGCGUACGGGAGGCAGCAGUGGGGAAUAUUGCACAAUGGGCGGAAGCCUGAUGCAGCAACGCCGCGUGCGGGAUGACGGCCUUCGGGUUGUAAACCGCUUUCGCCUGUGACGAAGCGUGAGUGACGGUAAUGGGUAAAGAAGCAACGGCUAACUACGUG
RNAcentral lists this ribosomal RNA (468 nucleotides) under uncultured bacterium. Its description in RNAcentral is "partial 16S ribosomal RNA". It matches the Rfam family "Bacterial small subunit ribosomal RNA", at positions 28 to 507 of the family's 1533-position model. The record is from RNAcentral.